GUUUGGCACCUCGAUGUCGGAUCGUCGCAUCCUGGGGCUGUAGUAGGUCCCAAGGGUUGGGCUGUUCGCCCAUUAAAGCGGUACGCGAUCUGGGUUCAGAACGUCGUGAGACAGUUCGGUCCCUAUCCGCUGUGGGCGUAGGAAGUUUGAGGGGCGUGGACUCUAGUACGAGAGGACCGAGUCGAACGAACCGCUGGUGAACCGGUUGUCCCGCCAGGGGCAUAGCCGGGUAGCUAUGUUCGGAUCAGAUAAGUGCUGAAAGCAUAUAAGCACGAAACUGACCCCGAGAUGAGACUUCAAACUCGUAAGAGUGAAGAGUCGUGGUAGCCCACCACGUUGAUAGGCCGGGGGUGGAAGCGCUGCAAAGCGUGGAGCUGACCGGUACUAAUAGCUCGGAAAUUUUAACUAC
Molecule: ribosomal RNA, 409 nt
Filed under: Vulcanimicrobiota bacterium
Lineage: Bacteria; Bacillati; Vulcanimicrobiota
Description: partial 23S ribosomal RNA
Rfam family: Bacterial large subunit ribosomal RNA
Source: RNAcentral